GAUGAACGCUAGCGGCAGGCUUAAUACAUGCAAGUCGUGGGGCAGCAUGAGUAGCAAUACUUGAUGGCGACCGGCAAACGGGUGAGGAACACGUACACAACCUUCCUUCAAGCGGGGAAUAGCCCAGAGAAAUUUGGAUUAAUACCCCAUAAUAUAUUUGAUAAGGCAUCUUAUUAAUAUUAAAGCUUCGGCACUUGAUGAUGGGUGUGCGGCUGAUUAGAUAGUUGGCGGGUAACGGCCCACCAAGUCUACGAUCAGUAGCUGAUGUGAGAGCAUGAUCAGCCACACGGGUACUGAGACACGGGCCCGACUCCUACGGGAGGCAGCAGUAAGGAAUAUUGGACAAUGGACGAAAGUCUGAUCCAGCCAUGCCGCGUGAAGGAUUAAGGUCCUCUGGAUUGUAAACUUCUUUAUAUGGGACGAAAAAAGGGCGAUUCUUAGUUCACUUGACGGUACCAUAUGAAUAAGCACCGGCUAACUCCGUGCCAGCAGCCG
Molecule: ribosomal RNA, 495 nt
Filed under: uncultured bacterium
Lineage: Bacteria
Description: bacterial SSU rRNA
Rfam family: Bacterial small subunit ribosomal RNA
Source: RNAcentral